RNAcentral lists this long non-coding RNA (368 nucleotides) under Linum usitatissimum (flax). Its description in RNAcentral is "long non-coding RNA (LUSI_LNC002765)". Lineage: Eukaryota; Viridiplantae; Streptophyta; Magnoliopsida; Malpighiales; Linaceae. The record is from RNAcentral.
CCUGUGUUUGCUCAGCUGGUUUCUUACUGUUAUUAUUGCUUAUAAUUAUUAUUAUUUAGUUUGUUGAGAAAAGUUGAGAGAGGAAAGACAAAAUCUGAGAGGAGGAAGAGUGUGUAAGGAGAGUAGACUGUUGCUUGCUGCAGUGGAAUUGAAGGAGUGGCAACCAAACCUAGCUAACAACCCCAGAAAUUAAAAAAAAAAAAAGAAUUUAAAGUAAAGGUAAUAAUAAUAAUAAUAAUGAAAAAAGCAGCAGCAGUAGUUGACAGUGGUUUAUAGCAGCAGCAGCAGUAGGAACACAAGAUCGAAACACAGAGUUAUUGAAUUAAUAGUUACAACUACAGUAGUACCAAAAUACAAGGAAAAGUCAC